GACGAACGCUGGCGGCGUGCUUAACACAUGCAAGUCGAACGGAAAGGCCCUGCUUUUGUGGGGUGCUCGAGUGGCGAACGGGUGAGUAACACGUGAGUAACCUGCCCUUGACUUUGGGAUAACUUCAGGAAACUGGGGCUAAUACCGGAUAGGAGCUCCUGCUGCAUGGUGGGGUUUGGAAAGUUUCGGCGGUUGGGGAUGGACUCGCGGCUUAUCAGCUUGUUGGUGGGGUAGUGGCUUACCAAGGCUUUGACGGGUAGCCGGCCUGAGAGGGUGACCGGCGACAUUGGGACUGAGAUACGGCCCAGACUCCUACGGGAGGCAGCAGUGGGGAAUAUUGCACAAUGGGCGGAAGCCUGAUGCAGCAACGCCGCGUGCGGGAUGACGGCCUUCGGGUUGUAAACCGCUUUAGCCUGUGACGAAGCGUGAGUGACGGUAAUGGGUAAAGAAGCACCGGCUAACUACGUG
RNAcentral lists this ribosomal RNA (468 nucleotides) under uncultured bacterium. RNAcentral describes it as "partial 16S ribosomal RNA". It matches the Rfam family "Bacterial small subunit ribosomal RNA", at positions 28 to 507 of the family's 1533-position model. The record is from RNAcentral.